RNAcentral lists this ribosomal RNA (253 nucleotides) under uncultured bacterium. RNAcentral describes it as "partial 16S ribosomal RNA". It matches the Rfam family "Bacterial small subunit ribosomal RNA", at positions 524 to 776 of the family's 1533-position model. The record is from RNAcentral.
UACGUAGGGUGCUAGCGUUGUUCGGAAUCAUUGGGCGUAAAGCGCGUGUAGGUGGCUUGUUAAGUCGAUUGUGAAAUCCCUGGGCUCAACCGAGGAAGUGCAUUCGAAACUAGCUAGCUAGAGGACGGCAGAGGAAGGUGGAAUGCCAAGUGUAGAGGUGAAAUUCGUAGAUAUUUGGCGGAAUACCGGUGGCGAAGGCGGCCUUCUGGACCGGUCCUGACACUGAGACGCGAAAGCGUGGGGAGCAAACAGG